RNAcentral lists this long non-coding RNA (341 nucleotides) under Citrus maxima (pomelo). RNAcentral's name for it is "long non-coding RNA (CMAX_LNC000597)". The record is from RNAcentral. Lineage: Eukaryota; Viridiplantae; Streptophyta; Magnoliopsida; Sapindales; Rutaceae.
UCUUCACAUGCCACUGGAUUGGGAAUAGAGGAAAUUCCUGGUUAUGCUCUUUCUCAGAGCAAGAACCUAAGUCUGCAACGUUCAGGCCAUCCACGAUUAGAAAUGGAACAACUAUUGGAACUUCAAUUUCCACAGCAGCGACACCUUGAGCUUCAACAACAGCGGCACCUUGAGCUUCAACAACAGCGGCACCUUGAGCUUCAGCAACAACGGCACCUCGAAGAACUCCAACAACAAAGGCAACUUGAAGAACUCAAACAGCAGAGGCGACUUGAAGAACUCCAACAACGGAGGCAACUUGAAGAACUCCAACAACGGAGGCAUCUUGAAGAACUUCAACA